This 484-nucleotide ribosomal RNA is filed under the name uncultured Alistipes sp. Its description in RNAcentral is "bacterial SSU rRNA". It matches the Rfam family "Bacterial small subunit ribosomal RNA", at positions 44 to 507 of the family's 1533-position model. The record is from RNAcentral. Lineage: Bacteria; Pseudomonadati; Bacteroidota; Bacteroidia; Bacteroidales; Rikenellaceae.
AGGCGUAACACAAUGCAAGUCGAGGGGCGAGCGGGUAACGUAGACCUUGCUACUUACUGUCCGGCGACCGGCGGACGGGUGCGUAACGCGUAUGUAACCUACCUUUGUACAGGGGGAUAACGAAUCGAGAAAUUGGUACCUAAUACCCCACAACAUCACCGGAGGCAUCUUCGGUGGUUGAAAACUCAGGUGGUCAGAGAUGGACAUGCGUUGUAUUAGCUAGUUGGUGAGGUAACGGCUCACCAAGGCGACGAUACAUAGGGGGACUGAGAGGUCAACCCCCCACAUUGGUACUGAGACACGGACCAAACUCCUACGGGAGGCAGCAGUGAGGAAUAUUGGUCAAUGGACGCAAGUCUGAACCAGCCAUGCCGCGUGCAGGAAGACGGCUCUAUGAGUUGUAAACUGCUUUUGUACGAGGGUAAAUCCCGAUACGUGUAUCGGGUUGAAAGCAUCGUACGAAUAAGGAUCGGCUAACUCCGUG